RNAcentral lists this ribosomal RNA (504 nucleotides) under uncultured bacterium. RNAcentral's name for it is "bacterial SSU rRNA". It matches the Rfam family "Bacterial small subunit ribosomal RNA", at positions 30 to 523 of the family's 1533-position model. The record is from RNAcentral.
AUUGAACGCUGGCGGCAUGCCUUACACAUGCAAGUCGAACGGUAACGCGGGGCAACCUGGCGACGAGUGGCGAACGGGUGAGUAAUAUAUCGGAACGUGCCCAAUAGUGGGGGAUAGCCCGGCGAAAGCCGGAUUAAUACCGCAUACGACCUGAGGGUGAAAGCGGGGGAUCGCAAGACCUCGCGCUAUUGGAGCGGCCGAUAUCAGAUUAGGUAGUUGGUGGGGUAAAGGCCUACCAAGCCUACGAUCUGUAGCUGGUCUGAGAGGACGACCAGCCACACUGGGACUGAGACACGGCCCAGACUCCUACGGGAGGCAGCAGUGGGGGAAUUUUGGACAAUGGGGGGCAACCCUGAUCCAGCCAUUCCGCGUGAGUGAAGAAGGCCUUCGGGUUGUAAAGCUCUUUUGUUCGGGGACGAAACGGUCGUCACCUAAUACGUGAGACUACUGACGGUACCCGAACGAAUAAGACACCGGCUAACUACGUGCCAGCAGCCGCGGUAA